UUAGCUUUAGACAUAAUAGAUACACCACCAAUACCAUCCAGUGGCAUUUCAACAGAUGGGUCACCAUUAGGAUCACGAAGGUAAGCCAAAUGAGGGCGCCAGGUAGCAUACUCUGCGUAUCCUUCUACAAUAACGUCGUCUUCGCCCAAAGUAUCUGCAAGCUGAAGAGCAGUCUCAGAUUCAGCCCAUGAAUUUAAAUCAUAUGGUUGCUCAUUGCCCAACCAAUCUGGUAAGGGUCUAUAAACGUUAGGAACAAUAAUGUCUUUAUCAUGGCGCAUAAGAUCCUCCAAAAUAGUGUUUGGAGCAGUCUCCACGUCAACAUCUCUCCAGUAAACCCAAGAAUGGUAAGGCUGUAUAGCGGCUGACAAAAGCCAAUUACGAGCACGAGCCAUUAAUUUCCUUCGGGGACCUUGUGCCGCAAAUCCAUGACGGUCACUGAAUUCUUGACCGAAAAUAGCACCGAAGUCCUUUAGCAUGAUAAGGACAUUGUUAAAAUGCUUAGAUUCGUCCUCGUCAUUUUGAAUAGCGUCUAAAUGUUGCUUCAAAACCUCGAGAGUAUUAUCAUCAGUG
Schizosaccharomyces pombe (fission yeast) is the source of this 570-nucleotide non-coding RNA. The record is from the annotation of a GenBank genome assembly. Lineage: Eukaryota; Fungi; Ascomycota; Schizosaccharomycetes; Schizosaccharomycetales; Schizosaccharomycetaceae.